This 804-nucleotide ribosomal RNA is filed under the name bacterium enrichment culture clone WG_10. RNAcentral describes it as "bacterial SSU rRNA". It matches the Rfam family "Bacterial small subunit ribosomal RNA", at positions 62 to 837 of the family's 1533-position model. The record is from RNAcentral.
UCGUACGCUUCUUUUUCCACCGGAGCUUGCUCCACCGGAAAAAGAGGAGUGGCGAACGGGUGAGUAACACGUGGGUAACCUGCCCAUCAGAAGGGGAUAACACUUGGAAACAGGUGCUAAUACCGUAUAACAAUCGGAACCGCAUGGUUUUGAUUUGAAAGGCGCUUUCGGGUGUCGCUGAUGGAUGGACCCGCGGUGCAUUAGCUAGUUGGUGAGGUAACGGCUCACCAAGGCCACGAUGCAUAGCCGACCUGAGAGGGUGAUCGGCCACAUUGGGACUGAGACACGGCCCAAACUCCUACGGGAGGCAGCAGUAGGGAAUCUUCGGCAAUGGACGAAAGUCUGACCGAGCAACGCCGCGUGAGUGAAGAAGGUUUUCGGAUCGUAAAACUCUGUUGUUAGAGAAGAACAAGGAUGAGAGUAACUGUUCAUCCCUUGACGGUAUCUAACCAGAAAGCCACGGCUAACUACGUGCCAGCAGCCGCGGUAAUACGUAGGUGGCAAGCGUUGUCCGGAUUUAUUGGGCGUAAAGCGAGCGCAGGCGGUUUCUUAAGUCUGAUGUGAAAGCCCCCGGCUCAACCGGGGAGGGUCAUUGGAAACUGGGAGACUUGAGUGCAGAAGAGGAGAGUGGAAUUCCAUGUGUAGCGGUGAAAUGCGUAGAUAUAUGGAGGAACACCAGUGGCGAAGGCGGCUCUCUGGUCUGUAACUGACGCUGAGGCUCGAAAGCGUGGGGAGCAAACAGGAUUAGAUACCCUGGUAGUCCACGCCGUAAACGAUGAGUGCUAAGUGUUGGAGGGUUUCCGC